RNAcentral lists this long non-coding RNA (207 nucleotides) under Cyanistes caeruleus (blue tit). RNAcentral describes it as "lncRNA (ENSCCEG00000010732.1)". The record is from RNAcentral. Lineage: Eukaryota; Metazoa; Chordata; Aves; Passeriformes; Paridae.
GAGCCCGUUUGCUGCCUGUGCAGGUACUGAAGGGCAGGAGCUGGGAGGUGGCAGAGUCAGUUUCCUUGCCAGUCGUAAAGAUGCAAUUAUCACCCCUUGUUUGACCGAAGACUGUAAAAGGAGACUCAAUGUGCUGUUGGAGAAGGUUUGCUGACAGCAGUUUUCCUGGAUGGAGAUUCUGAGGUAGGAUGGCCACAAUUCUUCCAG